GGCCCGCACAAGCGGAGGGACAUGUGGUUUAAUUCGAUGAUACGCGAGGAACCUUACCCGGGCUUGAAUUGCAGAGGAAGGAUUUGGAGACAAUGACGCCCUUCGGGGCCUCUGUGAAGGUGCUGCAUGGUUGUCGUCAGCUCGUGCCGUGAGGUGUCGGCUUAAGUGCCAUAACGAGCGCAACCCCUCUCCUUAGUUGCCAUCAGGUGAAGCUGGGCACUCUGGGGACACUGCCACCGUAAGGUGUGAGGAAGGUGGGGAUGACGUCAAAUCAGCACGGCCCUUACGUCCGGGGCUACACACGUGUUACAAUGGCAGGUACAGAGAGACGGUCCCUUGCAAAAUGGAUCAAAUCCUUAAAGCCUGUCUCAGUUCGGACUGGGGUCUGCAACCCGACCCCACGAAGCUGGAUUCGCUAGUAAUCGCGCAUCAGCCAUGGCGCGGUGAAUACGUUCCCGGGC
RNAcentral lists this ribosomal RNA (461 nucleotides) under uncultured bacterium. RNAcentral's name for it is "bacterial SSU rRNA". It matches the Rfam family "Bacterial small subunit ribosomal RNA", at positions 918 to 1379 of the family's 1533-position model. The record is from RNAcentral.